Molecule: ribosomal RNA, 467 nt
Filed under: uncultured bacterium
Lineage: Bacteria
Description: partial 16S ribosomal RNA
Rfam family: Bacterial small subunit ribosomal RNA
Source: RNAcentral
GACGAACGCUGGCGGCGUGCUUAACACAUGCAAGUCGAACGGAAAGGCCCUGCUUUUGUGGGGUGCUCGAGUGGCGAACGGGUGAGUAACACGUGAGUAACCUGCCCUUGACUUUGGGAUAACUUCAGGAAACUGGGGCUAAUACCGGAUAGGAGCUCCUGCUGCAUGGUGGGGGUUGGAAAGUUUCGGCGGUUGGGGAUGGACUCGCGGCUUAUCAGCUUGUUGGUGGGGUAGUGGCUUACCAAGGCUUUGACGGGUAGCCGGCCUGAGAGGGUGACCGGCCACAUUGGGACUGAGAUACGGCCCAGACUCCUACGGAGGCAGCAGUGGGGAAUAUUGCACAAUGGGCGGAAGCCUGAUGCAGCAACGCCGCGUGCGGGAUGACGGCCUUCGGGUUGUAAACCGCUUUCGCCUGUGACGAAGCGUGAGUGACGGUAAUGGGUGAAGAAGCACCGGCUAACUACGUG